AUGGGAACGCGAAGAACCUUACCUAGACUUGACAUCUCCUGAAUAGUGUAGAGAUACAUGAAGCCCUUCGGGGCGAGGAAGACAGGUGGUGCAUGGUUGUCGUCAGCUCGUGUCGUGAGAUGUUGGGUUAAGUCCCGCAACGAGCGCAACCCUUAUUACUAGUUGCUACCAUUAAGUUGAGCACUCUAGUGAGACUGCCCGGGUUAACCGGGAGGAAGGCGGGAGUGGACGUCAAAUCAUCAUGCCCCUUAUGUCUAGGGCAACACACGUGCUACAAUGGUGAGUACAGAUAGAUGCGAUACCGCAAGGUGGGCCAAACGUCUAAAACUCAAUCCCAGUUCGGAUUGUAGGCUGCAACUCGCCUACAUGAAGUUGGAGUUGCUAGUAAUCGCGAAUCAGAAUGUCGC
Molecule: ribosomal RNA, 407 nt
Filed under: uncultured bacterium
Lineage: Bacteria
Description: bacterial SSU rRNA
Rfam family: Bacterial small subunit ribosomal RNA
Source: RNAcentral